This 301-nucleotide ribosomal RNA is filed under the name uncultured bacterium. Its description in RNAcentral is "partial 16S ribosomal RNA". It matches the Rfam family "Bacterial small subunit ribosomal RNA", at positions 509 to 807 of the family's 1533-position model. The record is from RNAcentral.
CAGCAGCCGCGGUAAAACGUAGGUGGCAAGCGUUGUCCGGAAUUAUUGGGCGUAAAGGGCUCGCAGGCGGUUUCUUAAGUCUGAUGUGAAAGCCCCCGGCUCAACCGGGGAGGGUCAUUGGAAACUGGGAAACUUGAGUGCAGAAGAGGAGAGUGGAAUUCCACGUGUAGCGGUGAAAUGCGUAGAGAUGUGGAGGAACACCAGUGGCGAAGGCGACUCUCUGGUCUGUAACUGACGCUGAGGAGCGAAAGCGUGGGGAGCGAACAGGAUUAGAUACCUGCGUAGUCCCUGUCUCUUAUAC